CCUACGGGUGGCAGCAGUGGGGAAUAUUGGACAAUGGGCGAAAGCCUGAUCCAGCCAUGCCGCGUGUGUGAAGAAGGCCUUCGGGUUGUAAAGCACUUUCAGUGGGGAAGAAAGCCUUGGGGCUAAUACCCUCGAGGAAGGACAUCACCCACAGAAGAAGCACCGGCUAACUCCGUGCCAGCAGCCGCGGUAAUACGGAGGGUGCGAGCGUUAAUCGGAAUUACUGGGCGUAAAGCGCGCGUAGGCGGUCUGAUAAGCCGGUUGUGAAAGCCCCGGGCUCAACCUGGGAACGGCAUCCGGAACUGUCAGGCUAGAGUGCAGGAGAGGAAGGUAGAAUUCCCGGUGUAGCGGUGAAAUGCGUAGAGAUCAGGAGGAAUACCAGUGGCGAAGGCGGCCUUCUGGACUGACACUGACGCUGAGGUGCGAAAGCGUGGGUAGCAAACAGGAUUAGAUACCCUUGUAGUC
RNAcentral lists this ribosomal RNA (465 nucleotides) under Vreelandella stevensii. RNAcentral describes it as "partial 16S ribosomal RNA". It matches the Rfam family "Bacterial small subunit ribosomal RNA", at positions 338 to 795 of the family's 1533-position model. Lineage: Bacteria; Pseudomonadati; Pseudomonadota; Gammaproteobacteria; Oceanospirillales; Halomonadaceae. The record is from RNAcentral.